Molecule: transfer RNA, 75 nt
Filed under: Nonomuraea sp. TT08I-71
Lineage: Bacteria; Bacillati; Actinomycetota; Actinomycetes; Streptosporangiales; Streptosporangiaceae
Description: tRNA-Ala
Source: RNAcentral
UGUCGAGCUGGGUGAGGGUGUCCCGCAGCGCCGGCUCGCGGCCGGCCAGGGCGCGGUUCAGCUCGGCGUUGAUGG